GACGAACGCUGGCGGCGUGCUUAACACAUGCAAGUCGAACGGAAAGGCCCUGCUUUUGUGGGGUGCUCGAGUGGCGAACGGGUGAGUAACACGUGAGUAACCUGCCCUUGACUUUGGGAUAACUUCAGGAAACUGGGGCUAAUACCGGAUAGGAGCUCCUGCUGCAUGGUGGGGGUUGGAAAGUUUCGGCGGUUGGGGAUGGACUCGCGGCUUAUCAGCUUGUUGGUGGGGUAGUGGCUUACCAAGGCUUUGACGGGUAGCCGGCAUGAGAGGGUGACCGGCCACAUGGGGACUGAGAUACGGCCCAGACUCCUACGGGAGGCAGCAGUGGGGAAUAUUGCACAAUGGGCGGAAGCCUGAUGCAGCAACGCCGCGUGCGGGAUGACGGCCUUCGGGUUGUAAACCGCUUUCGCCUGUGACGAAGCGUGAGUGACGGUAAUGGGUAAAGAAGCACCGGCUAACUACGUG
Molecule: ribosomal RNA, 468 nt
Filed under: uncultured bacterium
Lineage: Bacteria
Description: partial 16S ribosomal RNA
Rfam family: Bacterial small subunit ribosomal RNA
Source: RNAcentral